UUGCCUCAGUAACGGCGAGUGAAGCGGCAACAGCUCAAAUUUGAAAUCUGGCCCUCUCGGGGUCCGAGUUGUAAUUUGUAGAGGGUGCUUCGGGCGCGAUGCCGGUCUAAGUUCCUUGGAACAGGACGUCGUAGAGGGUGAGAAUCCCGUAUGCGACCGGCGAUCAAGCCCGUGCGAAGCCCCUUCGACGAGUCGAGUUGUUUGGGAAUGCAGCUCAAAAUGGGUGGUAAAUUUCAUCUAAAGCUAAAUACCGGCCAGAGACCGAUAGCGGACAAGUAGAGUGAUCGAAAGAUGAAAAGCACUUUGGAAAGAGAGUCAAACAGUACGUGAAAUUGUUGAAAGGGAAGCGCUUGCAAUCAGACCGGUCCGGAGGCGAUCAGCCGCUGCUCGUCAGCGGUGCACUCGCCUGCGAUCCGGCCAGCAUCGGUUUGGGCGGCGGGAUAAAAGUCCCGGGAAUGUAGCUUCUCCCGGGGAGUCUUAUAGCCCGGGUCGCAAUGCCGCCCGCCCGGACCGAGGACCGCGCUUCGGCUAGGAUGCUGGCGUAAUGGUUGCAAGCGACCCGUCUUGAAACACGGACCAAGGAGUCUAACAUCCAUGCGAGUGUUUGGGUGUCAAACCCAGGCGCGGAAUGAAAGUGAACGGAGGUGGGAACCCGUCAGACGGCGCACCAUCGACCGAUCCAGAUGUCUUCGGAUGGAUUUGAGUAUGAGCAUGGCUGUUGGGACCCGAAAGAUGGUGAACUAUGCCCGGAUAGGGUGAAGCCAGAGGAAACUCUGGUGGAGGCUCGCAGCGGUUCUGACGUGCAAAUCGAUCGUCAAAUCUAGGCAUAGGGGCGAAAGACCAAUCGAACCAUCUAGUAGCUGGUUCCUGUCGAAGUUUCCCUCAGGAUAGCAGUAACGUUUUCAGUUUUAUGAGGUAAAGCGAAUGAUUAGAGGCCUUGGGGCUGAAACAGCCUUAACCUAUUCUCAAACUUUAAAUAUGUAAGAAGUCCUUGUUACUUAGUUGAACGUGGACAUUUGAAUG
This 1023-nucleotide ribosomal RNA is filed under the name Sticta globulifuliginosa. RNAcentral describes it as "partial large subunit ribosomal RNA". It matches the Rfam family "Eukaryotic large subunit ribosomal RNA", at positions 75 to 1115 of the family's 3401-position model. Lineage: Eukaryota; Fungi; Ascomycota; Lecanoromycetes; Peltigerales; Lobariaceae. The record is from RNAcentral.